RNAcentral lists this ribosomal RNA (468 nucleotides) under uncultured bacterium. RNAcentral's name for it is "partial 16S ribosomal RNA". It matches the Rfam family "Bacterial small subunit ribosomal RNA", at positions 28 to 507 of the family's 1533-position model. The record is from RNAcentral.
GACGAACGCUGGCGGCGUGCUUAACACAUGCAAGUCGAACGGAAAGGCCCUGCUUUUGUGGGGUGCUCGAGUGGCGAACGGGUGAGUAACACGUGAGUAACCUGCCCUUGACUUUGGUAUAACUUCAGGAAACUGGGGCUAAUACCGGAUAGGAGCUCCUGCUGCAUGGUGGGGGUUGGAAAGUUUCGGCGGUUGGGGAUGGACUCGCGGCUUAUCAGCUUGUUGGUGGGGUAGUGGCUUACCAAGGCUUUGACGGGUAGCCGGCCUGAGAGGGUGACCGGCCACAUUGGGACUGAGAUACGGCGCAGACUCGUAUGGGAGGCAGCAGUGGGGAAUAUUGAACAAUGGGCGGAAGCCUGAUGCAGCAACGCCGCGUGCGGGAUGACGGCCUUCGGGUUGUAAACCGCUUUAGCCUGUGACGAAGCGUGAGUGACGGUAAUGGGUGAAGAAGCACCGGCUAACUACGUG